This 561-nucleotide ribosomal RNA is filed under the name uncultured bacterium. Its description in RNAcentral is "partial 16S ribosomal RNA". It matches the Rfam family "Bacterial small subunit ribosomal RNA", at positions 355 to 937 of the family's 1533-position model. The record is from RNAcentral.
UGGGGAAUAUUGCACAAUGGGCGAAAGCCUGAUGCAGCAACGCCGCGUGAGUGAUGAAGGCCUUCGGGUUGUAAAGCUCUGUCUUUUGGGACGAUAAUGACGGUACCAAAGGAGGAAGCCACGGCUAACUACGUGCCAGCAGCCGCGGUAAUACGUAGGUGGCAAGCGUUGUCCGGAUUUACUGGGCGUAAAGGAUGCGUAGGCGGAUUUUUAAGUGAGAUGUGAGAUACCCGGGCUUAACUUGGGUGCUGCAUUUCAAACUGGGAAUCUAGAGUGCGGGAGAGGAGAAUGGAAUUCCUAGUGUAGCGGUGAAAUGCGUAGAGAUUAGGAAGAACACCAGUGGCGAAGGCGAUUCUCUGGACCGUAACUGACGCUGAGGCGUGAAAGCGUGGGUAGCAAACAGGAUUAGAUACCCUGGUAGUCCACGCCGUAAACGAUGAGUACUAGGUGUAGGAGGUAUCGACCCCUUCUGUGCCGCAGUUAACACAAUAAGUACUCCGCCUGGGAAGUACGAUCGCAAGAUUAAAACUCAAAGGAAUUGACGGGGUCAUAGCUGUUUCC